CAGUAGCCGCGGUAAUACGAGGGGGGCAAGCGCUGUUCGGAAUUAUUGGGCGUAAAGGGUGCGUAGGCGGCUUGACAAGUCUUGUGUGAAAUCUAUGGGCUCAACCCAUAGUCUGCACGGGAAACUGUCGGGCUUGAGAAUGGGAGAGGUGAGUGGAAUUUCCGGUGUAGCGGUGAAAUGCGUAGAUAUCGGAAGGAACACCUGUGGCGAAAGCGGCUCACUGGACCAUUUCUGACGCUGAUGCACGAAAGCUAGGGGAGCAAACAGGAUUAGAUACCCGGGUAGUCCCUGUCUCUUAUAA
Molecule: ribosomal RNA, 301 nt
Filed under: uncultured bacterium
Lineage: Bacteria
Description: partial 16S ribosomal RNA
Rfam family: Bacterial small subunit ribosomal RNA
Source: RNAcentral